RNAcentral lists this ribosomal RNA (2899 nucleotides) under Clostridioides difficile. Its description in RNAcentral is "23S ribosomal RNA". It matches the Rfam family "Bacterial large subunit ribosomal RNA". The record is from RNAcentral. Lineage: Bacteria; Bacillati; Bacillota; Clostridia; Peptostreptococcales; Peptostreptococcaceae.
UGGUCAAGUUAUUAAGGGUGCAGGGCGGAUGCCUUGGCACUAGGAGCCGAUGAAGGACGUGAUAAGCUGCGAUAAGCUUCGGGGAGUUGCACGUAAACUUUGAUCCGAAGAUUUCCGAAUGAGGAAACUCACUUAGAGUAAUGUCUAAGUAUCAUUAAGUGAAUACAUAGCUUAAUGAGGGGAACUCAGGGAACUGAAACAUCUAAGUACCUGAAGGAAGAGAAAGAAAUUCGAUUCCGUAAGUAGCGGCGAGCGAACGCGGAUUAGCCCAAACCAAUAAAGUUUUCUUUAUUGGGGUUGCGGACAUAUCAUAACGAAGAGGUAUCGUAAUUGAAGAGGUUUGGAAAGACCCACCACAGAAGGUAAUAGUCCUGUAUGUUAAACGAGAAGACUUUAGAUAUGAUCCAGAGUACCACGGGACACGUGAAACCCUGUGGGAAGCAGGAGGGACCACCCUCCAAGGCUAAAUACUACCUAGUGACCGAUAGCGUAUAGUACCGUGAGGGAAAGGUGAAAAGAACCCCGGGAGGGGAGUGAAAUAGAACCUGAAACCCUGCACUUACAAGCUGUGGAAGCACAUUUCUUGUGUGACCGCGUACUUUUUGUAGAACGGGCCAACGAGUUACGUUAAGUAGCAAGGUUAAGCACUUAAGGUGCGGAGCCGUAGCGAAAGCGAGUUUUAACUGAGCGUUCAGUUACUUGACGUAGACCCGAAACCGGGCGACCUACCCAUGAGCAGGAUGAAGCGAAAGUAAAAUUUCGUGGAGGUCCGAACCCACGAGCGUUGAAAAGCUCGGGGAUGACUUGUGGGUAGCGGUGAAAUUCCAAUCGAGCCCGGAGAUAGCUGGUUCUCCCCGAAAUAGCUUUAGGGCUAGCCUCAAGGUGAGAGAUACGGAGGUAGAGCACUGAAUGUCCUAGGGGGUAUUGCACCUACCGAAGACUAUCAAACUCCGAAUGCCGUCAUCUUAUACUUGGGAGUCAGACUGUGGGUGAUAAGAUUCAUAGUCGAAAGGGCAACAGCCCAGAUCGUCAGCUAAGGUCCCUAAAUGUAAGUUAAGUGGUAAAGGAUGUGGGAUUGCACAGACAACCAGGAUGUUGGCUUAGAAGCAGCCACUCAUUCAAAGAGUGCGUAAUAGCUCACUGGUCGAGUGAUCCUGCGCCGAAGAUUUCCGGGGCUAAAACUUACUACCGAAGCUACGGCAUCAGUAAUGAUGGGUAGGGGAGCUUCCCAUACGGGUUGAAGCAUGACCGUAAGGACAUGUGGACAGUAUGGGAGUGAGAAUGUUGGCAUGAGUAGCGAGAUGUGGGUGAGAAUCCCACAGGCCGUAAACCCAAGGUUUCCAGGGGAAGGUUCGUCCGCCCUGGGUUAGUCGGGACCUAAGCUGAGGCCGAAAGGCGUAGGUGAUGGACAACAGGUUGAUAUUCCUGUACUACCGAUAACCGUUUGAGAGAAGGGAUGACACAGUAGGAUAAGCUAAGCACACUGUUGGUUAUGUGUGCCCAAGCAUUGAGGCAGUCAAAGUAGGCAAAUCCGCUUUGAUAAUGCUGGGAUGUGAUGGGGAGCGAAAUUUAGUAGCGAAGUAGCUGAUUUCACACUGUCAAGAAAAGUCUCUAUCGAGGUUAAAGGUACCCGUACCGCAAACCGACACAGGUGGGUGAGGAGAGUAUCCUAAGGCCAGCGAGAGAACUGUUGUUAAGGAACUCGGCAAAAUGACCCCGUAACUUAGGGAUAAGGGGUGCCACCAUCAGGUGGCCGCAGAGAAUAGGCCCAAGCGACUGUUUACCAAAAACAUAGGUUUCUGCUAAGUCGCAAGACGAUGUAUAGGAGCUGACGCCUGCCCGGUGCUGGAAGGUUAAGGGGAUCUGUUAGAGCAAUCGAAGCAGUGAACUUAAGCCCCAGUAAACGGCGGCCGUAACUAUAACGGUCCUAAGGUAGCGAAAUUCCUUGUCGGGUAAGUUCCGACCCGCACGAAAGGCGUAACGAUUUGGGCACUGUCUCAACAACAGACUCGGUGAAAUUGUAAUUCCGGUGAAGAUGCCGGAUACCUGCGACAGGACGGAAAGACCCCAUGGAGCUUUACUGUAGCUUGACAUUGGGUCUUGGUACUACAUGUACAGGAUAGGUGGGAGGCUUUGAAACCAGGACGCCAGUUUUGGCGGAGCCAUCCUUGGGAUACCACCCUUGUAGUACUGGGACUCUAACCAUAGGCCAUGAAUCUGGUCUUGGGACACUGUCAGGUGGGCAGUUUGACUGGGGCGGUCGCCUCCCAAAAGGUAACGGAGGCGCUCAAAGGUUCUCUCAGUACGGUCGGAAAUCGUACGCAGAGUGUAAAGGCAAAAGAGAGCUUGAUUGCAAGACAUACAGGUCGAGCAAGGAUGAAAAUCGGACUUAGUGAUCCGGUGGUUCUGCGUGGAAGGGCCAUCGCUCAACGGAUAAAAGCUACCCUGGGGAUAACAGGCUUAUCUCCCCAAGAGUCCACAUCGACGGGGAGGUUUGGCACCUCGAUGUCGGCUCAUCACAUCCUGGGGCUGUAGUAGGUCCCAAGGGUUGGGCUGUUCGCCCAUUAAAGUGGUACGCGAGCUGGGUUCAGAACGUCGUGAGACAGUUCGGUCCCUAUCCGUCGCAGGCGUAGGAAAUUUGAGAAGACCUGUCCUUAGUACGAGAGGACCGGGAUGGACGUACCUCUGGUGUACCAGUUGUUCUGCCAAGGGCAUGGCUGGGUAGCUAUGUACGGAAUGGAUAAGCGCUGAAAGCAUCUAAGCGCGAAGCCAACUUCAAGAUAAGAUUUCCCACCGCAAGGGUAAGACCCCAGAAAGACUAUCUGGUUGAUAGGUCGAAGGUGUAAGUGCAGCAAUGUAUUUAGCUUAUCGAUACUAAUAGGUCGAGGACUUGACCAAU